This is a ribosomal RNA of Tatumella morbirosei, 2906 nucleotides long. It matches the Rfam family "Bacterial large subunit ribosomal RNA". The record is from Rfam. NCBI's taxonomy places the organism in Bacteria, Pseudomonadati, Pseudomonadota, Gammaproteobacteria, Enterobacterales, Erwiniaceae.
GGUUAAGCGAAUAAGCGUACACGGUGGAUGCCCUGGCAGUCAGAGGCGAUGAAGGACGUGCUAAUCUGCGAAAAGCGCCGGUAAGGUGAUAUGAACCGAUACAGCCGGCGAUGUCCGAAUGGGGAAACCCGGUGCACUCAGUGCAUCAUCGCAACAUGAAUACAUAGUGUUGCGAGGCGAACCGGGGGAACUGAAACAUCUAAGUACCCCGAGGAAAAGAAAUCAACCGAGAUUCCCCCAGUAGCGGCGAGCGAACGGGGAGCAGCCCUGAACCAUCAUCAGUGUGUGUGUUAGUGGAAGCGUCCGGAAUGGCGCACGAUACAGGGUGAAAGUCCCGUACAUGAAAAUGCACAUACUGUGAGUUCGAAGAGUAGGGCGGGACACGUGGUAUCCUGUCUGAAUAUGGGGGGACCAUCCUCCAAGGCUAAAUACUCCUGACUGACCGAUAGUGAACCAGUACCGUGAGGGAAAGGCGAAAAGAACCCCGGCGAGGGGAGUGAAAAGAACCUGAAACCGUGUACGUACAAGCAGUGGGAGCACCCUUUGGGGUGUGACUGCGUACCUUUUGUAUAAUGGGUCAGCGACUUAUAUUCUGUAGCAAGGUUAACCGUAUAGGGGAGCCGCAGGGAAACCGAGUCUUAACUGGGCGUUAAGUUGCAGGGUAUAGACCCGAAACCCGGUGAUCUAGCCAUGGGCAGGUUGAAGGUUGGGUAACACUAACUGGAGGACCGAACCGACUAAUGUUGAAAAAUUAGCGGAUGACCUGUGGCUGGGGGUGAAAGGCCAAUCAAACCGGGAGAUAGCUGGUUCUCCCCGAAAGCUAUUUAGGUAGCGCCUCGUGAACUCAUCUCCGGGGGUAGAGCACUGUUUCGGCUAGGGGGCCAUCCCGGCUUACCAACCCGAUGCAAACUGCGAAUACCGGAGAAUGUUAUCACGGGAGACACACGGCGGGUGCUAACGUCCGUCGUGAAGAGGGAAACAACCCAGACCGCCAGCUAAGGUCCCAAAGUCAUGGUUAAGUGGGAAACGAUGUGGGAAGGCUCAGACAGCCAGGAUGUUGGCUUAGAAGCAGCCAUCAUUUAAAGAAAGCGUAAUAGCUCACUGGUCGAGUCGGCCUGCGCGGAAGAUGUAACGGGGCUAAACCAUGCACCGAAGCUGCGGCAGCGACACUAUGUGUUGUUGGGUAGGGGAGCGUUCUGUAAGCCGUUGAAGGUGGACUGUGAGGUCUGCUGGAGGUAUCAGAAGUGCGAAUGCUGACAUAAGUAACGAUAAAGCGGGUGAAAAGCCCGCUCGCCGGAAGACCAAGGGUUCCUGUCCAACGUUAAUCGGGGCAGGGUGAGUCGACCCCUAAGGCGAGGCUGAAAAGCGUAGUCGAUGGGAAACAGGUUAAUAUUCCUGUACUUGGUGUUACUGCGAAGGGGGGACGGAGAAGGCUAUGUCAUCCGGGCGACGGUUGUCCCGGUUUAAGCGUGUAGGCUGAGAUUCCAGGCAAAUCCGGAAUCUCUUAAGGCUGAGGCGUGAUGACGAGGUGCUACGGCACUGAAGUGACAAAUGCCCUGCUUCCGGGAAAAGCCUCUAAGCUCCAGGUAACACGAAAUCGUACCCCAAACCGACACAGGUGGUCAGGUAGAGAAUACCAAGGCGCUUGAGAGAACUCGGGUGAAGGAACUAGGCAAAAUGGUGCCGUAACUUCGGGAGAAGGCACGCUGGCGCGUAGGUGAAGGGACUUGCUCCCGGAGCUGAAGCCAGUCGAAGAUACCAGCUGGCUGCAACUGUUUAUUAAAAACACAGCACUGUGCAAACACGAAAGUGGACGUAUACGGUGUGACGCCUGCCCGGUGCCGGAAGGUUAAUUGAUGGGGUUAUCGCUCUGCGAGAAGCUCCUGAUCGAAGCCCCGGUAAACGGCGGCCGUAACUAUAACGGUCCUAAGGUAGCGAAAUUCCUUGUCGGGUAAGUUCCGACCUGCACGAAUGGCGUAAUGAUGGCCAGGCUGUCUCCACCCGAGACUCAGUGAAAUUGAAAUCGCUGUGAAGAUGCAGUGUACCCGCGGCAAGACGGAAAGACCCCGUGAACCUUUACUAUAGCUUGACACUGAAUAUUGAGCCUUGAUGUGCAGGAUAGGUGGGAGGCACUGAAGUACGGACGCCAGUUCGUACGGAGCCAUCCUUGAAAUACCACCCUUUAAUGUUUGAUAUUCUAACGUGGACCCGUUAUCCGGGUUGCGGACAGUGUCUGGUGGGUAGUUUGACUGGGGCGGUCUCCUCCCAAAGAGUAACGGAGGAGCACGAAGGUUAGCUAAUCACGGUCGGACAUCGUGAGGUUAGUGCAAAGGCAUAAGCUAGCUUGACUGCGAGAGUGACGGUUCGAGCAGGUGCGAAAGCAGGUCUUAGUGAUCCGGUGGUUCUGAAUGGAAGGGCCAUCGCUCAACGGAUAAAAGGUACUCCGGGGAUAACAGGCUGAUACCGCCCAAGAGUUCAUAUCGACGGCGGUGUUUGGCACCUCGAUGUCGGCUCAUCACAUCCUGGGGCUGAAGUAGGUCCCAAGGGUACGGCUGUUCGCCGUUUAAAGUGGUACGCGAGCUGGGUUUAGAACGUCGUGAGACAGUUCGGUCCCUAUCUGCCGUGGGCGCUGGAGAAUUGAGGGGGGUUGCUCCUAGUACGAGAGGACCGGAGUGAACGCACCACUGGUGUUCGGGUUGUCAUGCCAAUGGCAUUGCCCGGUAGCUAAGUGCGGAAAAGAUAAGUGCUGAAAGCAUCUAAGCACGAAACUUGCCCCGAGAUGAGUUCUCCCUGACCCUUUAAGGGUCCUGAAGGGACGUUGAAGACGACGACGUUGAUAGGCCGGAUGUGUAAGUGCAGCGAUGCAUUGAGCUAACCGGUACUAAUGACCCGUGAGGCUUAACCUU